RNAcentral lists this ribosomal RNA (465 nucleotides) under uncultured bacterium. RNAcentral's name for it is "partial 16S ribosomal RNA". It matches the Rfam family "Bacterial small subunit ribosomal RNA", at positions 28 to 507 of the family's 1533-position model. The record is from RNAcentral.
GAUGAACGCUGGCGGCGUGCUUAACACAUGCAAGUCGAACGAUGAAGCCCAGCUUGCUGGGUGGAUUAGUGGCGAACGGGUGAGUAACACGUGAGUAACCUGCCCUUGACUCUAGGAUAAGCCCGGGAAACUGGGUCUAAUACUGGAUAGGAACGUCUACCGCAUGGUGGGUGUUGGAAAGAAUUUCGGUCAUGGAUGGACUCGCGGCCUAUCAGCUUGUUGGUGAGGUAAUGGCUCACCAAGGCGACGACGGGUAGCCGGCCUGAGAGGGUGACCGGCCACACUGGGACUGAGACACGGCCCAGACUCCUACGGGAGGCAGCAGUGGGGAAUAUUGCACAAUGGGCGAAAGCCUGAUGCAGCGACGCCGCGUGAGGGAUGACGGCCUUCGGGUUGUAAACCUCUUUCAGUAGGGAAGAAGCGAAAGUGACGGUACCUGCAGAAGAAGCACCGGCUAACUACGUG